Molecule: unclassified non-coding RNA, 3603 nt
Filed under: Hevea brasiliensis (rubber tree)
Lineage: Eukaryota; Viridiplantae; Streptophyta; Magnoliopsida; Malpighiales; Euphorbiaceae
Source: RNAcentral
CGCAUUCAAUAGUAAUUCAGCAGAUGCAGCUACAGAUGAUGUUGACACACAUACACCAUUCCAUGCUUUGAGCGACCAUCUAAAGCAAUCCAAAAACAGAUCAAGACUCUGAAUUAACAAGUUCAUUUAAUAGUUAAAUUGACAUGAAACAUUCAAAAAAUGUACAUACAGGCAAACAUUGCAUGAUCAACCCCACCCUAACCCCUUGCGGUUUUCUUUUCCAUCUAUUCUUCAUGUAUAAGACUAUAAAGUAUGGAGAAGGUCUAAAAAUAUCCCCUCCCAUCUUCAACCACUAUCAGAGGUUCUUUUCCUCAUCAUUUUAGUCACCAGAGCUCAUUAACACUCUGAGAAAGUGAGAAUCACACAAAAACAACACAAAUAUAAUCCCCCAUCACCCCAUUAUGCAACUCACACAUCAAGCUGGGGAACGGCCGGUGUUCUUGAUGCUGCAGAUGUUUGAGGCCUUGAUUCGGCAAUUUUUGCAGCCACUUCAGCCAUAACAAGUCUAGUCAGAAGCAGACCAGCAAUUAAAGCUGCCCCCAUUAGCAUUGUGAAAACUGCACUCCAGCUCUUCUCAGAAAUAUAACCUGUCAGUAAAGGUCCAAUUGCAGCCCCAACUGAGCCUGUGCCAUCUAUAAUUGCUGUAACUGUUGCCAAUGCCCUUGAGUUCUCUUUCAAAGAACUGUGGGUUCCCAAGUCAGCUGAGACUGCUGUUGUUAUAAGAGCAUAAGGCCCAUUCACAAACAUGCCGGUGAUAAACAUAAGGGCAAUAUUUACAACCAAGGAAAUAUGUCCAUAGCUUCGGUAAAAGAAGAGAGCAGGGAUUGCACAGUACAUGAAGCUUGCAGCCGUAAUGGCUCUGGCAUCUAGACGAUCAGAAAUGUGUCCAGCUAAGAUUCCUCCAAUCACCCCUCCCACAUCAAACAAUGUUGAUAAGUUCCCAGCUGUGCCACUUGAUAAGUACUUCCCAUUGAUAGCUGUAAGAUUGGCAAACCAUAGAAUUCAUAUAAGGAAGCCUAAGGAUGUAUUCCAUGACCUAUAAGUUGAUAAACACACAUUUUGAUUUUAAUUAUUAUCAUUUUUAUGAAUAAAUAUACUGAAAAAGAAAACUAUAAGAACAAUGAAUGUUGCAUCUGAAUGAUUUGUCUAGUUGAGUUGGGUUGAGCACAUAAUUUCAUCAAAAGCAAACAGAUGAACCUCAAACUUUUCAAUAAAAGGUCAAUUAAAAGGUGCAGUUAUCUUGAACUGCAGGGAUUAAAUAACGCACAACUCUCAAUUCAAUCCACUUUAUACUCAGACGUUAAAUUUUCAACUGCAGUUAAAAUUUUAUGAGCUGUUCAGCAUGUUCAAACAUACUGCAAUUCAAGCUUACCACGAAAUUAAAAAGCCAGUGAAUCCAAAUUACCUGUGUGGCUAAUGUAGAAAGGAAGCCAGUAGAGAAAUGUGUAAGCCACCAAUUUGGCAAAGAAAAGGCAAAGAGCAAAAGGAGCAACCCCUGGAAUUUUCCAUGCUUCAAUGAACCCAACUGCCGUCUCCUUAACCUUGGAGUCUGAUCCCAAAAGAGGCUCUGUAACUUCCUCUUCGGUUUUCUUUGGAUAAUGCAAUUCAUCUUCGUUUCUGUCAAUUCCAACAGAUUCAGGACUAACAGGAAGUACUAGAAAAACCACCAAGCCUAUAAAAGCAAUAAGGAAGCCAGGCACGACAAAUGACCAGCCCCAUCCAUAGCUCAACAUUGCAGAAGCAAUCAAAGACCCUGAAAUGUUCCCAACAGAGGUAUGAGCAUUCCAUAUACCCAUAAUUAGUCCUCUCUUGCUUUUCCCAAACCAGUUUCCGACCACAGCAACCACUGAAGGCCAUCCAGUUGACUGGAACAAACCAGCAAUCAUUUGUAUUAUCAAGAAGUAGUAAAAGCUAUGUUCAUUUGCCCAAUAACCAGCACCAAACAACGAAGUAAAUAAACCGGUUCCUAUCAUUCCUACUGUCAAAAAGAUCCUUAAAUCCAUCCUGUCACCUAUAUGUCCAGAGAAAUACAUUGCUAUGGCAUAUAUAGAGAGAAAAGCCAGGUCAAGAUCACCUAGCAAGGCUGUGCCGUCUGAUCCAUUAAAUGGAGUCCAACCAUCUCCAAGUGCCCAUGAAAAUCCUCUCCUUUCUUCUGGUUCACUUAAGUAAGUUAUCCUCCAAGGAAUGAACUUCAAACCCACCUCAGUUGAUUGAGGAUCAAGGGUACUCUUGACAAUGCUUGUGGUUUUUCGAGCAGCAUGGUAGCUAGCAUAUGCGAAAAAUGUUAUAAUCAAAACAAUGGCUUGGUAGGUUUUGUAGGAAAGUCUGUCUUUCUUUACGAAUUCUAAGAAUUGAAUUCCAUAGAGUUUAUUUUGAUUUCUCUCAGGUACUGGUUCCGAUAAUGGACCCAUGUAUGAAACCUUAACUCUGCAAGGAAUAAAGCAGAAUUGGAGGCUUCACCUUCCUUUCUUAUUUUAUACCAAUUGCAACAAUCUGUAAAGCACACCAGUGGAAUAUUUCAGAUGAGAUAACAGUUAACGAAAAGCUCCAGAUUCAGAACAUUAAUACUCCAUCUUAAAACUAUAAAGACUGCUGAAUUAAAUAAGUAAUUUGUGUCUCACAAGCAAGUUUAAAAUAAAAACAGAAAUCAAGCAAAAAAAAUCCACGGAAUUAUUUACUUUUCAGUUUUCACAGUAAUAUAUGAUUGAUGCUGAAAUAGUACCUCAAAUUUGAACAAACUAAGCAGGGACAAGUUCAAAUUAAUAACUGGCUCUGCUAGACCAUCUCAAAUCUCAAUCAACAUCAAGCUUAAUGAGAUGAAAUAAUUAAAAAAAAAAAAGGUCUCAAUCUAUCCAUAAGCAGCAAAAAGCUUUCACCGUAUUCCGAAAUCACCAAAAAUCGUCUUCAGAGUCGGGUCAAAUCGAAUCAGUUAAAAAUAGAAUUAAAGAAGAAAACACACAGAAAUUCUCAAAACCAGACAAUAAAUUUUUCCCAGGGAAAAUCAUCAAUUUUACUUUUGUUUAACACGAAUCGGACUAGCCAUAAGCCCACUAGAUCUUUAAGAGAAUAAAGUUAGAGAAGUAAACAAUUCAUAAAAAACAGACGCAAACAUCAACGAAUUGACGAUCAAACAGAAGCUACUUCACUGAGAAAUAAACCGGAAAAUGAAAAUCAUUAAAAUCUCAAGCAUUCACCGCAAAACAUGUUUAAAGAACAACUUUUACAUUAAAAAAAAAAAGCAAAACCUUUUUCAACAAUCGGAGACAAACCCAAGAGUUGUUCACCAACAAAUUGACUUUUUAAGAAAUACCCAUCACAUUUGCGUAUAAAUGUUUAUACCCCAAAUAAAAACUCAAUUUGAAACCAAAAUGUCAAUAGCAGAAAUCAACUGAAUACAAAAAUUAUAAACGUAAUUGUCAACCAUAUAUGAACAUUAAACUGAAGUAAAAUAAUUACCUCUUGGUUAGAUGAACUCACCCUGACUUGGUAGCUUGUUGUCCCUUUCUCUCUCUCUCUAAGGCAAUUACGUUCUCUCCUUCCUUUCACUCUCGUAAAGAAACUCUCUUUUCUCUCUGGUUUUUCUGUUGCUUAACGAACAAAAAC